UCGAACGAAACUUCUUUAUCACCGAGUGCUUGCACUCACCGAUAAAGAGUUGACUGGCGAACGGGUGAGUAACACGUGGGCAACCUGCCCAAAAGAGGGGGAUAACACUUGGAAACAGGUGCUAAUACCGCAUAACCAUAGUUACCGCAUGGUAACUAUGUAAAAGGUGGCUAUGCUACCGCUUUUGGAUGGGCCCGCGGCGCAUUAGCUAGUUGGUGGGGUAAAGGCUUACCAAGGCAAUGAUGCGUAGCCGAACUGAGAGGUUGAUCGGCCACAUUGGGACUGAGACACGGCCCAAACUCCUACGGGAGGCAGCAGUAGGGAAUCUUCCACAAUGGGCGAAAGCCUGAUGGAGCAACGCCGCGUGGGUGAAGAAGGUCUUCGGAUCGUAAAACCCUGUUGUUAGAGAAGAAAGUGCGUGAGAGUAACUGUUCACGUUUCGACGGUAUCUAACCAGAAAGCCACGGCUAACUACGUGCCAGCAGCCGCGGUAAUACGUAGGUGGCAAGCGUUAUCCGGAUUUAUUGGGCGUAAAGGGAACGCAGGCGGUCUUUUAAGUCUGAUGUGAAAGCCUUCGGCUUAACCGGAGUAGUGCAUUGGAAACUGGGAGACUUGAGUGCAGAAGAGGAGAGUGGAACUCCAUGUGUAGCGGUGAAAUGCGUAGAUAUAUGGAAGAACACCAGUGGCGAAAGCGGCUCUCUGGUCUGUAACUGACGCUGAGGUUCGAAAGCGUGGGUAGCAAACAGGAUUAGAUACCCUGGUAGUCCACGCCGUAAACAAUGAAUGC
This 787-nucleotide ribosomal RNA is filed under the name uncultured bacterium. RNAcentral describes it as "bacterial SSU rRNA". It matches the Rfam family "Bacterial small subunit ribosomal RNA", at positions 62 to 816 of the family's 1533-position model. The record is from RNAcentral.